AGCGUACACGGUGGAUGCCCUGGCAGUCAGAGGCGAUGAAGGACGUGCUAAUCUGCGAUAAGCGUCGGUAAGGUGAUAUGAACCGUUAUAACCGGCGAUUUCCGAAUGGGGAAACCCAGUGUGAUUCGUCACACUAUCAUUAACUGAAUCCAUAGGUUAAUGAGGCGAACCGGGGGAACUGAAACAUCUAAGUACCCCGAGGAAAAGAAAUCAACCGAGAUUCCCCCAGUAGCGGCGAGCGAACGGGGAGCAGCCCAGAGCCUGAAUCAGUGUGUGUGUUAGUGGAAGCGUCUGGAAAGGCGCGCGAUACAGGGUGACAGCCCCGUACACAAAAAUGCACAUGCUGUGAGCUCGAUGAGUAGGGCGGGACACGUGGUAUCCUGUCUGAAUAUGGGGGGACCAUCCUCCAAGGCUAAAUACUCCUGACUGACCGAUAGUGAACCAGUACCGUGAGGGAAAGGCGAAAAGAACCCCGGCGAGGGGAGUGAAAAAGAACCUGAAACCGUGUACGUACAAGCAGUGGGAGCACGCUUCGGCGUGUGACUGCGUACCUUUUGUAUAAUGGGUCAGCGACUUAUAUUCUGUAGCAAGGUUAACCGAAUAGGGGAGCCGAAGGGAAACCGAGUCUUAACUGGGCGUUAAGUUGCAGGGUAUAGACCCGAAACCCGGUGAUCUAGCCAUGGGCAGGUUGAAGGUUGGGUAACACUAACUGGAGGACCGAACCGACUAAUGUUGAAAAAUUAGCGGAUGACUUGUGGCUGGGGGUGAAAGGCCAAUCAAACCGGGAGAUAGCUGGUUCUCCCCGAAAGCUAUUUAGGUAGCGCCUCGUGAAUUCAUCUCCGGGGGUAGAGCACUGUUUCGGCAAGGGGGUCAUCCCGACUUACCAACCCGAUGCAAACUGCGAAUACCGGAGAAUGUUAUCACGGGAGACACACGGCGGGUGCUAACGUCCGUCGUGAAGAGGGAAACAACCCAGACCGCCAGCUAAGGUCCCAAAGUCAUGGUUAAGUGGGAAACGAUGUGGGAAGGCCCAGACAGCCAGGAUGUUGGCUUAGAAGCAGCCAUCAUUUAAAGAAAGCGUAAUAGCUCACUGGUCGAGUCGGCCUGCGCGGAAGAUGUAACGGGGCUAAACCAUGCACCGAAGCUGCGGCAGCGACACUAUGUGUUGUUGGGUAGGGGAGCGUUCUGUAAGCCUGUGAAGGUGUACUGUGAGGUAUGCUGGAGGUAUCAGAAGUGCGAAUGCUGACAUAAGUAACGAUAAAGCGGGUGAAAAGCCCGCUCGCCGGAAGACCAAGGGUUCCUGUCCAACGUUAAUCGGGGCAGGGUGAGUCGACCCCUAAGGCGAGGCCGAAAGGCGUAGUCGAUGGGAAACAGGUUAAUAUUCCUGUACUUGGUGUUACUGCGAAGGGGGGACGGAGAAGGCUAUGUUGGCCGGGCGACGGUUGUCCCGGUUUAAGCGUGUAGGCUGGUUUUCCAGGCAAAUCCGGAAAAUCAAGGCUGAGGCGUGAUGACGAGGCACUACGGUGCUGAAGCAACAAAUGCCCUGCUUCCAGGAAAAGCCUCUAAGCAUCAGGUAACAUCAAAUCGUACCCCAAACCGACACAGGUGGUCAGGUAGAGAAUACCAAGGCGCUUGAGAGAACUCGGGUGAAGGAACUAGGCAAAAUGGUGCCGUAACUUCGGGAGAAGGCACGCUGAUAUGUAGGUGAAGCGACUUGCUCGUGGAGCUGAAAUCAGUCGAAGAUACCAGCUGGCUGCAACUGUUUAUUAAAAACACAGCACUGUGCAAACACGAAAGUGGACGUAUACGGUGUGACGCCUGCCCGGUGCCGGAAGGUUAAUUGAUGGGGUUAGCGGUAACGCGAAGCUCUUGAUCGAAGCCCCGGUAAACGGCGGCCGUAACUAUAACGGUCCUAAGGUAGCGAAAUUCCUUGUCGGGUAAGUUCCGACCUGCACGAAUGGCGUAAUGAUGGCCAGGCUGUCUCCACCCGAGACUCAGUGAAAUUGAACUCGCUGUGAAGAUGCAGUGUACCCGCGGCAAGACGGAAAGACCCCGUGAACCUUUACUAUAGCUUGACACUGAACAUUGAGCCUUGAUGUGUAGGAUAGGUGGGAGGCUUUGAAGUGUGGACGCCAGUCUGCAUGGAGCCGACCUUGAAAUACCACCCUUUAAUGUUUGAUGUUCUAACGUUGGCCCGUAAUCCGGGUUGCGGACAGUGUCUGGUGGGUAGUUUGACUGGGGCGGUCUCCUCCUAAAGAGUAACGGAGGAGCACGAAGGUUGGCUAAUCCUGGUCGGACAUCAGGAGGUUAGUGCAAUGGCAUAAGCCAGCUUGACUGCGAGCGUGACGGCGCGAGCAGGUGCGAAAGCAGGUCAUAGUGAUCCGGUGGUUCUGAAUGGAAGGGCCAUCGCUCAACGGAUAAAAGGUACUCCGGGGAUAACAGGCUGAUACCGCCCAAGAGUUCAUAUCGACGGCGGUGUUUGGCACCUCGAUGUCGGCUCAUCACAUCCUGGGGCUGAAGUAGGUCCCAAGGGUAUGGCUGUUCGCCAUUUAAAGUGGUACGCGAGCUGGGUUUAGAACGUCGUGAGACAGUUCGGUCCCUAUCUGCCGUGGGCGCUGGAGAACUGAGGGGGGCUGCUCCUAGUACGAGAGGACCGGAGUGGACGCAUCACUGGUGUUCGGGUUGUCAUGCCAAUGGCACUGCCCGGUAGCUAAAUGCGGAAGAGAUAAGUGCUGAAAGCAUCUAAGCACGAAACUUGCCCCGAGAUGAGUUCUCCCUGACUCCUUGA
RNAcentral lists this ribosomal RNA (2788 nucleotides) under gut metagenome. RNAcentral describes it as "bacterial LSU rRNA". It matches the Rfam family "Bacterial large subunit ribosomal RNA". The record is from RNAcentral.